RNAcentral lists this ribosomal RNA (524 nucleotides) under uncultured bacterium. RNAcentral describes it as "partial 16S ribosomal RNA". It matches the Rfam family "Bacterial small subunit ribosomal RNA", at positions 28 to 523 of the family's 1533-position model. The record is from RNAcentral.
GACGAACGCUGGCGGCGUGCCUAAUACAUGCAAGUCGAGCGCAGGAAGCUGACGGAACUCUUCGGAGGGAAGACAGUGGAAUGAGCGGCGGACGGGUGAGUAACACGUAAGGAACCUGCCUCAAGGAUUGGGAUAACUCCGAGAAAUCGGAGCUAAUACCGGAUAGUUCAACGGACCGCAUGGUCCGCUGAUGAAAGGCGCUCCGGCGUCACCUUGAGAUGGCCUUGCGGUGCAUUAGCUAGUUGGUGGGGUAACGGCCCACCAAGGCGACGAGGCAUAGCCGACCUGAGAGGGUGAUCGGCCACACUGGGACUGAGACACGGCCCAGACUCCUACGGGAGGCAGCAGUAGGGAAUCUUCCACAAUGAACGAAAGUCUGAUGGAGCAACGCCGCGUGAGUGAUGAAGGUUUUCGGAUCGUAAAACUCUGUUGUAAGGGAAGAACACGUACGAGAGGAAAUGCUCGUACCUUGACGGUACCUUACGAGAAAGCCACGGCUAACUACGUGCCAGCCGCCGCCGUAA